CCUGGUGGCUCAAAUGGUAAAGCGUCUGCCCACACUGCAGGAGACCCAGGUUCAAUUCCUGGGUCAGGA
RNAcentral lists this transfer RNA (69 nucleotides) under Bos taurus (domestic cattle). It matches the Rfam family "tRNA". Rfam says of the family: Transfer RNA (tRNA) molecules are approximately 80 nucleotides in length. Their secondary structure includes four short double-helical elements and three loops (D, anti-codon, and T loops). Further hydrogen bonds mediate the characteristic L-shaped molecular structure. tRNAs have two regions of fundamental functional importance: the anti-codon, which is responsible for specific mRNA codon recognition, and the 3' end, to which the tRNAs corresponding amino acid is attached (by aminoacyl-tRNA synthetases). tRNAs cope with the degeneracy of the genetic code in two manners: having more than one tRNA (with a specific anti-codon) for a particular amino acid; and 'wobble' base-pairing, i.e. permitting non-standard base-pairing at the 3rd anti-codon position. The record is from Rfam by way of RNAcentral. Lineage: Eukaryota; Metazoa; Chordata; Mammalia; Artiodactyla; Bovidae. RNAcentral also lists the same sequence under 1 other name.